Molecule: long non-coding RNA, 509 nt
Filed under: Homo sapiens (human)
Lineage: Eukaryota; Metazoa; Chordata; Mammalia; Primates; Hominidae
Description: non-protein coding lnc-MCTP2-7:3
Source: RNAcentral
GGGCCAAGCCCGGGCCCCAGGACACCGUGGAGCGGCCCUUCUACGAACUCUGGGCAUCAGACAACCCCCUGGACUGGCCAUUGUUUGGCCAGGAUGAGUUUUUCCUGGAGCAGACCAAGAAGAAAGGAGUGAAGCGGCCACCACGCCUGCACACCAAGCCGUCCCAGGCACCCGCCGUGGAGGCACGGCGGAAGGCCGAGGCUGACAAGCCCCGAAGGCUGGGGCGGCUCAAGUACCAGGCACCUGACAUCGACGUGCAGCUGAGCUCGGAGCUGGCAGACUCGCUCAGGACCCUGAAGCCCGAGGGCGACAUCCUUCGAGGCCGGUUCAAGAGCUUCCAGAGGAGGAAUAUGAUCCAGCCUCGACAGAGAGCCAAGUUCAAACCCAGGUACAAGGUGAAGCUGGGGGAGAAGCGGGCGUUCCGCGAGAUCCAGUUGUAGCUCCCAUCAGAGGCCGGAGCCUCGCCUUUCAAUAAAAAGUCCCUUCUAGCUAAAAAAAAAAAAAAAAAA